Molecule: ribosomal RNA, 253 nt
Filed under: uncultured bacterium
Lineage: Bacteria
Description: partial 16S ribosomal RNA
Rfam family: Bacterial small subunit ribosomal RNA
Source: RNAcentral
UACAGAGGUCCCAAGCGUUGUUCGGAUUCAUUGGGCGUAAAGGGUGCGUAGGCGGCGCGGUAAGUCGGGUGUGAAAUCUCGGGGCUUAACCCCGAAACUGCAUUCGAUACUGCCGUGCUUGAGGACUGGAGAGGAGACUGGAAUUUACGGUGUAGCGGUGAAAUGCGUAGAUAUCGUAAGGAAGACCAGUGGCGAAGGCGGGUCUCUGGACAGUUCCUGACACUGAGGCACGAAGGCCAGGGGAGCAAACGGG